RNAcentral lists this long non-coding RNA (1260 nucleotides) under Sparus aurata (gilthead seabream). Its description in RNAcentral is "lncRNA (ENSSAUG00010021428.1)". The record is from RNAcentral. Lineage: Eukaryota; Metazoa; Chordata; Actinopteri; Spariformes; Sparidae.
CUUGGACUCUCAGGAGGUGGCUUUCCUGAAGUCAGGCUCUGGGUCCUCAGCUCAUGCCUCAGCUCUGGCCUCAACCCAUGCCUCAGCGACAGCCAAGCUACCAGCCAGUGCCUCAGCCACAGCCAAGCUACAAACCCACGCCACAACCCUGCUACCAGACCAUGCCUCAGCCACAACCAAGCUACGAGCCCAAGCCCAUGCCUCAGCUCCAGCCACAACCAAGCUACCAGCCUAUGCCUCAGCCACAGCCAAGCUUCCAGCCCAGGCCUCAGCUCCGGCCUCAGCCCAUGCCUUAGCCACAACCCAGCUACCAGCCCAAGUCCACGCCCCAGCUCCUUUGUCGGUGGUCCAGCCUACACCUGCCAGUGGUCCCCAGUCGGUGGCCCGGUCAACACCUGCCAGUGGUCCUCAGUCGGCGACCUGGUCGACACCUGCCAGUGGUCCUCAGUCGGAGGCCCGGUUGACACCUGCCAGUGGUCCUCAGUCAGCGGCCCGGUCGACACCUGCCAGUGGUCCUCAGUCGGCAGCCAAGCAACGCCAAUCCCUGCUCCUCGGUCGGAGGCCCGGCCGAGUCCAGUCCCUGCUCCUCAGUCGGUGGCCCGGCUGAGUCCAGUGCCAAGUCCAGUGCCAAGUCCAGUGCCUGCUCCUUGGUCGGAGGCCUGGCCGAGUCCCGUGCCUGCUCCUCGGUCGGAGGUCUGGCCAAGCCCCUUGCCAAGUCCCGUGCCUGCUCCUCGGUCGGAGGUCUGGCUAAGCCCCUUGCCAAGUCCAGUGCCUGUUCCUCGGUCGGUGGCCCGGCCUUCCCCGCCUUCCUCGCCGGCUUCCAGUGGGUUCCAGCCCACGCCGCCUCCGCCGGCCUCCAAUGGGUCCCAGCCCCCGCCGCCUCCGCCGGCCUCCAGAGCGCCUUCACCGUCAUUGCUGGUCUCCAGAGUGCCCUCGCCUUUGUCUUCGCCACAGACCUCCAGAGCGCCCUUGUCUUUGACACAGACCUCCAGAGCGCCUUCGCCUUCAUCACAGACCUCCAGAGCGCCUUCACCUUUGUCACAGACCUCCAGAGCGCCUUCACCUGCGUCUUCGUCACAGACCUCCAGAGCGCCUUCGUCUUCGCCACAGCCCUCCAGAGCGCCUUCGUCUUCGCCACAGCCCUCCAGAGCGCCUUUGCCCCCGCCGUCGACCUCCAGAGUGCCUCAGCCCUCAGACAUGAACCAGUGUGAACGGAAAAGCCGGCUUCGCAUAUCGAGGGCAUGUCGAUCAGACGGUUAG